This 2605-nucleotide long non-coding RNA is filed under the name Daucus carota (carrot). Its description in RNAcentral is "long non-coding RNA (DCAR_LNC000041)". The record is from RNAcentral. Lineage: Eukaryota; Viridiplantae; Streptophyta; Magnoliopsida; Apiales; Apiaceae.
UCACAAACAUUGCAGUGAUAGAACCAAGUGUUUGGGUCUAUCUGCUCGGAACAGAGUUCACACUCGAAUUCAUGAGGAUGAUCAGGUACAUUGUUGAGCGACAGAAUCAGGUCCAGAGUAUGAGGAUCCCAUCGAUGAUUCACCCGACGUGGCCUUAACGCACACCAUAUAUGUAUGUAGAAUUCGCAUCUUUCACAUCCAUACAUCAUAAUUUCUCUGUCUGUUAAAAGUUCAGAACGACAUGCUUUGCAAAUAUAAUCAUCUGGAUAUGGUAAUUGCUUAAGAGGAUGACGAUGAGAUUCAUGUUUGAUUAUUCUGGGUAACGAAGCACACCCGAUAUCAAAACAGGCUGUUUCAUUGCGCAUGAAAAUCCCAUUACCAAGAUGACUGCAACCCUGGCAAUAAAUUAUUUGUUCGUUAUCUACUUGUACUCCCCACAGCUUGCCUGCUAGAUGAUGCUCAAUCUCUUCUGGAAAUAGGGCGCAUGAUUUGUGGAGAAAAAAUUUGCAUAAAUUGCAUUCGUAGGAUAUAUCAUCAACCAAAGAUAUAGGUUUAGUGCACCCGUCACAGAUUAGCAAUUCAGUUUCUGCUAAUUUAUGUUUCAAGUUAGAGGUUGAAGUUGUUGCGUUCUUGUUUCUAAGUGUCAGCGGGUGUUUAUGAGUCCAAUGGUUGAUAUAAGGUAAAGGUUCCGCAUUGGCAGAGUCAUGCAGGAGGGAAUUUGCUGCCUUGAUGAUACAUUGUUGCAUCGUUUCGUGCAGUGAUGCUUGAUCAUGCACUGGGAAGUGCAUCAAACUGGACUCUCCGCAAUCUGCUUCAUCAUCAAUAUCACUUUCGCUAUUCCAGAAAAAAGAAUCAAACCCAAUCAGAAUAAUCCCAAGUUAAACAACAAUUUAAGAAAAUCAAAAGUUUAUUUAAUAAGUAAUCAGUAUAAGAGAUAUGAGAAAUACUGAGAGAAAUGGUUAAUCAACCUCAACAUUUCUGUCAGUGAAGCACAUUUCACGUGAGCAAAAAACCUGCAAUUUGCACAAUAAUAAACCCAUUUGUUGAGAUUUACAACUUCAUCACAGAUGCUGCAGAAACCGGUGAAUUGACUAUAUUCUUGGGGAACAGAGUAGUACAAGAUGAGAGUGUGUUCGGUGUGAAAUUUACUUUGGUAGGUAAUGGGUGCAUUGGCACAACUCUUGUGCAUCCAGAAACAACAUUUGGUACAUAUAUAAGACAAGUCUGUAGCCGUCGUGUUUUACUCCCUCCAUCCCAUUUUAAGUGUCCACUUUGCAAAUUUCACACAUCUUAAGAAACAAUUAAUGUAAUGUUUUUAUCAUUAUCUUCACACACCUAUUCAUCUUGUUUUUAUAAAUAUUAAUUACGUGUAACACCACUCCUACUAUGUAUUUGACCUUUCUUCAUAUUGGAAUAGUUGGUUGUAUUUAAUACUGUAUUGGAACUAGUAAAAACUUGCAUGGGUUAAAGAGUAUGACACAUAUUUUGGGAUUUUUUUUUUUGGCAAAGUGGACACUUAAAAUGGGAUGGAGGGAGUACUUUUUUGUUUUGAUGUUUUUAUCCUCUAAUUUUUGAAAAUAAAUAUUUUUUGUUAGGAAAGAUUAAAUAUGGAUAUUUGAUUUUAAAAAUAAUUUAUAAAUAUGAAAAUUUUAUUUAAAACAAGCAGAUAAGUUAAGUACGCUGAAACAUGGUCGUUGUGUUAUUAAUUUAUGUUUUUGAAAUUUAAUAUUUAGGAUUGUUGGUUAUUUAAACUUUAAUUUUUUUAUUAAUUUAUAUUUUUGAAAUUUGAGUUAAGAAAAUAUAUUUUAUAAUUUUGAAAGAUAAUUUAUACUUUCUUUAUUCAGGUGACUUAUACGUAUAGUUUGAAUGUUGACCCAUAUUUUAAUACUUUUAUAAAAUAUAUUUUUAUAUUUUAUUUUAAACAAAAUAAAAUAAAAUAUGAAAAUAUAAAAAUAUAUUUUAUAAGAGUACAAUAUGUUUUCAACACAAAUAUGGUAAUUAAGACCAUUGUUUUGAGGAGCAAGAACAUAGUUGAUAAUUUUUGCAUUCCAAAGAAAAAAAUAUAGCCAAAGGCCUUUUAUUCUAGUGCAAUGCUCCAUCAGGCUUUGCAAUAAGACACUUUCAUUCUUCAUUACAUUUGACACAAGUGCAGCAUCUGAUUUGAAGUCUGAUUUCAUCAACAACGCACAUGAACCAUAAAUUCGCAUUCUGAACAUUCGAGGACUAUCCAGCCGGGUGCAUCUAUACCACACUUGUCGCAUUUCCUCUUCUUUUUAUUCACGGCCAAUGUCAGGCCGUGUGAGUGAGGAUGUGAGUCGGUAUGAAUGUUGGUGGCACCAAGCUUGAUAUUGGAGAGCCAGGAAUCAGGAUCAAUACAGAAAGUAUCAAAUGAUAGAUCACAAACAUUGCAGUGAUAGAACCAAGUGUUUGGGUCUAUCUGCUCGGAACAGAGUUCACACUCGAAUUCAUGAGGAUGAUCAGGUACAUUGUUGAGCGACAGAAUCAGGUCCAGAGUAUGAGGAUCCCAUCGAUGAUUCACCCGACGUGGCCUUAACGCACACCAUAUAUGUAUGUAGAAUUCGCAUCUUUCACAUCCAUACAUCAU